RNAcentral lists this ribosomal RNA (590 nucleotides) under uncultured bacterium. RNAcentral's name for it is "partial 16S ribosomal RNA". It matches the Rfam family "Bacterial small subunit ribosomal RNA", at positions 355 to 1375 of the family's 1533-position model. The record is from RNAcentral.
UGGGGAAUUUUGGACAAUGGGCGCGAGCCUGAUCCAGCAAUGCCGCGUGCAGGAUGAAGGCCUUCGGGUUGUAAACUGCUUUUGUACGGAACGAAAAGCCUCUCUCUAAUACAGGGGGUGAUGACGGUACCGUAAGAAUAAGCACCGGCUAACUACGUGCCAGCAGCCGCGGUAAUACGUAGGGUGCAAGCGUUAAUCGGAAUUACUGGGCGUAAAGCGUGCGCAGGCGGUUUUGUAAGACAGUGGUGAAAUCCCGGGCUCAACCUGGGAACUGCCAUUGUGACUGCAAGGCUGGAGUGCGGCAGAGGGGGAUGGAAUUCCGCGUGUAGCAGUGAAAUGCGUAGAUAUGCGGAGGAACACCGAUGGCGAAGGCAAUCCCCUGGGGCCUGCACUGACGCUCAUGCACGAAAGCGUGGGGAGCAAAACAGGAUUAGAUACCCCUGGUAGUCCACGCCCUAAAACGAUGUCAACUGGUUGUUGGGGAUUUAUUUCUUCAGUAACGAAGCUAACGCGUGAAGUUGACCGCCUGGGGGAGUACGGCCGCAAGGUUAAAAACUUAAAAUGAAUUGACGGGGUCAUAGCUGUUUCCU